CUUCACCCUAUGUGCCAACCUAUGGUCAGUUUCAGUGGGUUUGAGCUCAUGCCACCUGUCAUCUUCAACCUUCGCUCUGGGCAGGGCCCCCUCUUCAUUUCUGGACAGCAUUUGACAUUGGUCUAUGGAGGAGGAGGAGGAGAAGGAGGAGGUCUUCUCAUCAACACCCCCACUUGGUCCUGCUCCCUCCACUCGCUCUCCUCUGGCCAGCCAUCCGACUGCAUGGGCCUCUUCUGCUGACAACAGGUGAAGACUCAUUUAACACGUGUUUGGAGAAAGUCACCUGCAAGCUAUACAGUAUAUAUUAAUAGCUGUUACAGAAUAUUGGCUCCUGCUCUCCAUACCUUGCUCUCCAGCAGAGACGCCCACUCCAGGAUGAAGGCCCUGCAAAGAGGAGUGGGCCAGAUGUCCUCUAGUUUCCAGAUGUUCCCCAGCACCUCAGACCUCUGCAGAGAGGGCAUAGACAAGUGUGGGAUUUAGUAGACUUGUUUAUCCUCCAAACUAGACCUGACAAUGGAUACUGGUAUAAUGGAUGUUACAAAAGGAGUAAUUCUACUGGAGAACAAGUUGACUGUAUGCUGCAGUAUGACUGACCUUGUUUACAUACAAGAUUUUCCUAGGAACGAAGAUGGUUCGGCUCUCUCCGUUUUCUGAAUCCGAAGGCAGACAAACAGCGUCGCCAUGAUUGUUGUGGUACAUCAGUUGUCCACGAAGUGGAACGCCUGGCUGUCUAGCUCCCGCCUAUAUCCUUUCUUUGGAUUGGUGGAUACAUAGCAUUAUUGUAAUCCCGUUUUGAAUAUUCGAUGAGGUUUGUUGACGUCAACCGCCUGUAUUCAAUGGAAAGAGAUACUAUGCUACUAGCCUAAUUUCAUGAAUAUGCAUAGCCAUCUCGAGACAACUCUGAUAUAAAGUGUUUUUUUCUCAAAGUUGGCGGGAUGUCACCAUGUCCUACUUAUAUCAGUAGAGGAGAAUGAAGGUGUCUGUAAUAAACGUGAUAAAAACAAAUAUAUACGUUUAAUAAAUGCAUUUCUAUAGCUUCCAAAAUAUUUUUACUCCGUUGGGGGAGUGCCAAGAUGGAGGCACGGUGGCAUCAAAACAGCCCUGACAUCAUCUUGUGUGUUUAUAUAAAUUGUUGACCCUGCCCUGUUUCCCAAAAGCAUCUUCAGGUUAAGUUCAUCUAACCAUUUUAAUGAUUAACUUAGCCUUAAGAUGCUUUCGGGAAACCGGGCCCUGUUCAAUACAUUGUAAAGGCAUCCUCUCUGUAGUAUGAACCAGUGUUCACUACUUGACAUGAGAAUCUGAGUUUCAGAAGCUGAGUAGUUAACUGUGAUAUAUUUCAGGUUACUUCAAAAGCAAGUUCCAUUACAACAUGGCUAAAGAGAGAAUCCAUUUAUCCAUUAGUUUCAAGUUUUAAUGUCACAUGCAAUUAAAUGCCUUUCUUGCAAGCUCCAAACCCAACAAUGCAGUAAUCAAUAUCAAAGUAUCACUAAAGAAUAACAUAAGGUAGAAAAAAACGUUGAUAUUUCUGUUCAGUAUAUGUAUAGGGUAGGUGACUAAACAUCAGGAUACCAAUGCCCCCUGUAUAUAGCCUCGUUAUUGUUAUUCUUAUUGUGUUACUUUUUAUUUUAGCCUACUUUGUAAAUCUUUUUUUCUU
Molecule: long non-coding RNA, 1654 nt
Organism: Salvelinus namaycush (lake trout)
Lineage: Eukaryota; Metazoa; Chordata; Actinopteri; Salmoniformes; Salmonidae
Exons: 4
Source: RefSeq, a predicted model, not a curated record